Molecule: non-coding RNA, 81 nt
Organism: Boletus coccyginus
Lineage: Eukaryota; Fungi; Basidiomycota; Agaricomycetes; Boletales; Boletaceae
Source: the annotation of a GenBank genome assembly
GGGCUUUUGGCACAGUUGGUAGCGCGCAUGCUUCGCACGGGUGACUGCAUGAGGUCGUGGGUUCGACUCCCACAGAGUCCA